AACAGAGCAAACGUAUGUUUUCUCUUAUGUAGGGGUAGACAUAUUCGGCCCAUGGCAAGUUGUUUCUCGUAAAACUCGCAGUUCACAGGCUUGUUCUAAGCGCUGGGCAGUUCUGUUUACGUGCCUCACAAUUCGAGCAGUACACAUUGAAGAAGUCGAUGAAAUGUCUUCAUCAGCAUUUAUAAACGCCCUUAGACGUUUUAUUGCAAUUCGUGGUCCUGUAAAAGUGUUCAGGUCUGAUUGCGGUACAAAUUUUGUGGGUUCUACCGCUCAUAUUGGCGUCGAUGCUAUCAAUGUUGAAGAUGAACAAAUGAAAGGUUAUCUCCUUAGGUCUGGCACUGUGUGGAUUUUCAACGCCCCCCACAGCUCACACAUGGGAGGGGCCUGGGAAAGGAUGAUUGGGGUCUGUAGACGUAUACUAGAAUCUGUGCUUUCUAAUGUGCAUAACCUUACCCAUGAUGUCUUAGUUACUCUUAUGGCUGAGGUUAGUGCGAUCGUGAAUGCACGUCCCAUUGUACCUGUGUCCUCAGACCCAGAAUGCCCUCAAGUUUUGAGUCCAUCAGCUCUACUGAACUUGAAACUAGAUCCUGAUAAACAGCCUGUUGAUCACCAAUCCAUUAAAAACCUAUACAAAGAUCAAUGGAAACGUGUCCAGUACCUUGCAGGGGAAUUUUGGUUACGUUGGAGAAAAGAGUUUCUCCAGUCCCUUCAAGCCAGAUCUAAGUGGCAUGCAGAUCGAGCCCCACUAAAGCCUAAUGAUGUAGUUCUGCUCAAAGAUUAUGAAGUACCUCGCAAUCAUUGGCCUUUAGGAAGAGUGAGCAAAUUGUUUCCAAGUACUGAUGAGAAAAUUCGCAAAGUUGAAGUUUGUGUAAUCAAAGACGAUAAACCAGUCUAUUUUGUUAGACCAGUCAUAGAAACAGUGUUGUUAGUAAGGCACGAAUGUUGAUGUGGUGAUCAGUGUUUAUAUCGAUAUAAUUGACUGAUGUGGAACUUUUAAGAAGCCAUUCACAUGGAACGUUAUUUGUGCGUUUAAAGUGGUGGAACGUUAUUUGUGCUCUAAAAGUGUUACAGUUUGAAUAGUGAGUUUAUCAUAAGUCGGCCGUUUAAUUGUAUUCCAGUGUCCAUGUUUUGAAACGUCUUGUUAAGAAAUACUUGCAAUAUGCAGUAAUUUGUUCAUAAGUACUAAAUUAGCGUAAUAUUUGUAACUUGUUUCAAAUUUUUCUACUAGUAAAUUGUUCAUGUAUAUCACAUAUUUUGUGUUAAGUCUUUUUAAAUUUAAUUGCCUUUUGUUGUUCUGUAUUUGAUUUUAUCUAAGGGCCCUAGAUAUUUUUGAGUCCAGAACUUCAUAAGACUUCGCAAAACGGAAUUUUCAACUUUUGAAUUUAAUUCGGCUGAUUGUUAUAUUUUUGUUGUUAAUACAUUUGUAUAAUAAUUUUAAUGUAAUAUCUUUAAAGAUAUUAGAUGGGGAGUGUCGUGUUCCCCAGAUACCGGGAGUACCUCUUGUCGCUAUUUAGCUCUUCGCUUCUUUUCGAUAGUUGGUUAUCUUUUCUGUCGAUUGUUUGCCUCGUGUAUUUUUUACGUCAGCCAUGUUUGAACAAAAUAUUGUUCCAUCAAUUUUAAUAUAAAUUCAGCGUUAUGGAGGUUGCAUGGUUGUUGCAGGUGAUAUGAAGGUUGAGCAGACUAUUCAGAGAGUACCAAAGGGUCCAGGAGGUCACUAUGUUGUAGGAGAGACACGCAAUGCUGGUGCAGUAGCAGAAUUUGAGCUGUUGUUCCAUGAAAUAGGGUCCAUUACCAGCCUCCUCAAUCUUCUAACCACUAACAAGCCGAUGGAUCACACAGAAUGUCAUCUUUUGCAUUCGCAUUCGCUGAGCGCCACUCGUCGUCACUCGUUCAACUACAAUGUAGAAAUGUUGUUGGAUUAUGUUCUCGAACGUCAGAACCCAUACACAGUGACGGUCAAUGUUCCCGUUCCACUACACAAUUUACUGACAAAACUGGCUUUUGACAAAGAGUUUGCUGUACGGCUUCUCAAAUGUUUUAAAUAUGGUGAACGUGUUUACCGCGCAUACAGGUUAGAGAAUAGUUGAGAAAGCCACAAACAUCAGUUCCAUCAUUUCAAAUGGAAAGCUUCCCAAGUUCACUGACCAUUUAAACAGUCAUUAUUGACAUCAAAAGCUAUUCUUAAGGAACGGAAAGCCCCGAAAUCCAAAGAUAUGGCAGAUGCACAGAGGAGCAUGGACAUUGCAAAGGAACGAGGCAUGUCCCUCAAGUAGAUAUUAUCCCAUGAUUUGAUUUCUUCAUCUCUAUUAUUUGAUGGUGACCCCCAGCCCAUGUUAUUGGGGGAAAUUGAAUCUAGACUGGACAUCAGUAAAUGGAAUCGGGAAUCUCUUCUUCCCACUCAUGUCAUCGUGGACUUCAUGUCUAAGAUGCGACAGAUGCCACUUGCACAAUUUUCCACUUUGGGUGGUGCAAUCAAUGCUGUCAUCAACUCAGCGUCAAGCAUAUGUGAGGGGCCAGAGUACAUUCAUCUUGUACUAGACUCAUACGUUGAAAUGUCUUUAAAGGAAGGUGAACGGUUGCGGCGCGGAGACGAAGCAACGGGUAUUGCAAUUUUUGACAUGAGCAGAGACACACCAAUCCCACAACAACUUAAUAAAUUCUGGGCAUCCGUCGAAAAUAAGACUAAUCUUCAACUAUUGGUAAGGGAUAUAGUGUAAAAUCACGUCUGUGCCAACCCUAUCAUGGCAAGUCCAGUUGUCUCUGACAAUGAAGCUCUUCCAGCAAUUAAGUUUGGUAAUGAAGUCAUUCCUGAACUGUUAAACUGGAUUGAGAAGGCCGAUGCAAGGGUAAUGGCUCAUGUUGAGUGGGCUGCUCGUAUCAAACAGUGUUAAAGAGUUGUUGUGAUGUCCAACGACACCGACAGCUUUGCAUUAUUGCUUCACUUCACUCAAUAUUUUCAGAAACUCGAUAUGAAAAAUAUAUGGCAGCAGUAUGGUACUGGUGAGAAGCGUCGAAUUCUUUAGUUGCAUCAGGCAAUUUCUCGGCUUGGGACACCGCUGGCAAAGACAAUGAUACAGGCUCACAUAUUGACAGGCGACGACUGCAUGAGUAAAGUAGGAACCAAGCAUACAGCUGUGACCUCUGAUCCGGUACAGUUUUUAAUGAAUUUUGGACAGAUACCUUGUCAGAGCAGGAUGAAGCAUGAGCAAAAAAGUAUCUGGUACGCGUCUAGGCAGGGGCCAGUUCGACGACAACUGCGGAAACAUUUGACCAUCUCCGACUAGAGAACUAUACCAGUGCUAUUGCUUGACUUGAUUGCCUACCUCAUACAAGCAGUGUAAUCAAAGGACAUAUUCGUAGAGGAGCCUUUCUAAUACAUAGGCCAUGUAAACUGCUUAUAAAUAUUGAUGUUCCCGAGACACGGCUGGCACCAGUUAUACAUGGUGGAUUGGAGGAGCAUCUUGGCAUGCUUUUGCCCACAAAGUGCCUUUACAACGGAGCUUGCUGAUAUUGUGCAAGUAUACAUGAAAUUGCGAUAGUAGGUUGCUGUGUUGCUGGGGUGCUUUGCAUCACAUUUUGUCAUGUCAAAGUGGACAUUUCACCUUGUGGAAACCUGACUUAAAAUGACUAACUUUGGAACUGUAUGUAAUCUAUGUAAAACAAAGUAUUUUUAAACCACUUACAAUGAGAAUGAUUUCAUGUUGAUAAGUUGUGUGCGUUUUUGCUAUAAUGCCAUAUGGAAUAAGGUGUAAGCCCGUUAGCCUGUCCCUAGGAAUGGGGAUGACUCAGUGAUAACCCAAACAACACAUGACAUUGGCUCAAAGUCUUCCCGACAUCAAACAGAUGUUACGUCGGUUUGACUUUAUGCCAACGUUGAACAAAUAUCACGGGUUUGCUUGGUAAGAUGUUUGUUCGAUUAUCACAUUGUCAUACCAUCUGCAUUUGGGUUUAAGUCCCGUUCACUGUAGUAUUUUUCCAUCAAAUGUGAAAAUUUUCAAAUUACUAGUCACUUGUCUGUAAGUACAACAUGCAUAAAUUAUCUAAAUGUGCCAAUAUUACGUAAAACGUGCACAACAAUAUUCUAAUUGAAUUAAUUACGUCAAAAUGUGUCACAUUAAAGUUUAUACACUGGCUUUUACUGCCCAAGGUCAACUCAAGGUCGUUGAUGUAUCAUAUGCCCUCGUACUUGACCUUUCCGGAUCAAUUACCCUCCAUAUUUAACAAGACCUCACAUAACUGAGUUCUUAACAAAUAAUACAUAAUUUAGAGGUAAAACAUUUGAUUUUACUCCAAAAGGCAAUCUUUUUUUUUUCAACAUGGCCGUCGGCGGCCAUAUUGGAUUUUGAUAUUUUGAGGCUCCUGGCAGUGUGACGGACAAGAACCUCGGUGAUUUAUCAUUUAUAAGGACUAAUUAACUCACAUCAAAUGUAAAAUCCCUCAACCCAAUUUUGCAAACGGGACUUAAGACCUAGUCCUGCACUAAUUAUACCGCAUCCACGAAGCUGAUGCAUGUACAUAUGCGAAAGUGGUGACAUUUAUCUGCGACAUUAGAUUGCACUUAACACAUUGUCAAAGCUUAUCGUUUUAACUUAACAAAUUGUCAAAUAUCAAGGUAGCAAUAAAAAAAUGACAACACAUAUAUCCCAAAUGGUUAUCCUGUUAUUAAGAUUGUCCAGCAUAAAUACAAGACAUGCUGUCUCAAAAGUCCGGAAAGGACUUGGCUGAUAAUUGCAAUGUAUUGCGGUUCAAUAGUCUGUGAUGAACAAUUGCAAACAUUAAAUAUUGCAGCCCAGAUCUUUUGUUGUCGAAUUGAAACAUGUUAUUGAUUCAUUUAAUAAAAUUCGUAGUCAAAAGCAA
This is a long non-coding RNA of Dreissena polymorpha, 4857 nucleotides long. RefSeq lists it as uncharacterized. The transcript is spliced from 2 exons. NCBI's taxonomy places the organism in Eukaryota, Metazoa, Mollusca, Bivalvia, Myida, Dreissenidae. The record is from RefSeq and is a predicted model, not a curated record.